GACGAACGCUGGCGGCGUGCUUAACACAUGCAAGUCGAACGGACAGGCCCUGCUUUUGUGGGGUGCUCGAGUGGCGAACGGGUGAGUAACACGUGAGUAACCUGUCCUUGACUUUGGGAUAACUUCAGGAAACUGGGGCUAAUACCGGAUAGGAGCUCCUGCUGCAUGGUGGGGGUUGGAAAGUUUCGGCGGUUGGGGCUGGACUCGCGGCUUAUCAGCUUGUUGGUGGGGUAGUGGCUUACCAAGGCUUUGACGGGUAGCCGGCCUGAGAGGGUGACCGGCCACAUUGGGACUGAGAUACGGCCCAGACUCCUACGGGAGGCAGCAGUGGGGAAUAUUGCACAGUGGGCGGAAGCCUGAUGCAGCAACGCCGCGUGCGGGAUGACGGCCUUCGGGUUGUAAACCGCUUUCGCCGGUGACGAAGCGUGAGUGACGGUAAUGGGUAAAGAAGCACCGGCUAACUACGUG
Molecule: ribosomal RNA, 468 nt
Filed under: uncultured bacterium
Lineage: Bacteria
Description: partial 16S ribosomal RNA
Rfam family: Bacterial small subunit ribosomal RNA
Source: RNAcentral